GAUGAACGCUGGCGGCGUGCUUAACACAUGCAAGUCGAACGAGAAAUGGAGACGGAAACCUUCGGGCGGAAGGCUUCAUUUCGAGUGGCGGACGGGUGAGUAACGCGUGGGUAACCUGCCUCAUACAGGGGGAUAACAGUUGGAAACGACUGUUAAUACCGCAUAAGACCACAGCACCGCAUGGUGCGGGGGUAAAAACUCCGGUGGUAUGAGAUGGACCCGCGUUCGAUUAGCCAGUUGGCGGGGUAACGGCCCACCAAAGCGACGAUCGAUAGCCGAGCUGAGAGGAUGACCGGCCACAUUGGGACUGAGACACGGCCCAAACUCCUACGGGAGGCAGCAGUGGGGAAUAUUGCACAAUGGGGGAAACCCUGAUGCAGCGACGCCGCGUGAGUGAAGAAGUACUUCGGUAUGUAAAGCUCUAUCAGCAGGGAAGAAAAUGACGGUACCUGAGUAAGAAGCCCCGGCUAACUACGUG
This 478-nucleotide ribosomal RNA is filed under the name uncultured bacterium. RNAcentral describes it as "partial 16S ribosomal RNA". It matches the Rfam family "Bacterial small subunit ribosomal RNA", at positions 28 to 507 of the family's 1533-position model. The record is from RNAcentral.